UACGAAGGGUGCAAGCGUUACUCGGAAUUACUGGGCGUAAAGGGUGCGUAGGUGGUUCUUUAAGUCUGCUGUGAAAGCCCCGGGCUCAACCUGGGAAUGGCAGUGGAUACUGGAGAGCUAGAGUGCGGUAGAGGGUAGUGGAAUUCCCGGUGUAGCAGUGAAAUGCGUAGAGGUCGGGAGGAACACCAGUGGCGAAGGCGGCUACUGGACCAGCACUGACACUGAAGCACGAAAGCGUGGGGAGCAAACAGG
This 252-nucleotide ribosomal RNA is filed under the name uncultured bacterium. RNAcentral's name for it is "partial 16S ribosomal RNA". It matches the Rfam family "Bacterial small subunit ribosomal RNA", at positions 524 to 776 of the family's 1533-position model. The record is from RNAcentral.